GUUCUCAACAAGGCACCUUGUGCACAAGUGACAGAGCGAGCUCCAAAAAGAGCGCGAUGGAUCCCUCCUAUUGAGUUUCAAAGCAGUAAUUCCAUCUGCGAGCUGACAAUGACAUCACAGACUGUCUUCAUUUUGCUUGCCCUGGUCUGUGCAGUCAUUAAUAAUGAAGGUCGGGGAGUGAAUUUCAACCUAACACAAUCUUCCUCGACUUUUACAAUGCCAUCCUUGCUGAUAUUGCAGAGUUUUCCUGAUGCCAUUGAAAGCCCAAAGGCAUUCGCCGUGCAGUCUGGAGGUUGACAAGGGCUGGGAGACAGCUGGAACAGCGUGAGCAGCAGAUACCAGGUUCACACACACUGGGACGCAGCAAACCAGGCCUGUAAAGGGCCUGUCCCACCUACGCCCCUUGUCGGCACCCGUCAUAGUCGCAGCAGAUGUCUGAACAAUGUCAACAUGUUGAAAAUCCAGCGGCGACCAGAAAUAGCCGUUGCGCGAGUGAUGAAUAUUGGCCAGGACACCGUAGAGAUCUCAUCUGUUCCACUUCAAAAUAUCACCAUGUAAGUAUUCAGAAGCUGGCACCUUCCACUGUGCAGCAUGUCUACAUGGGCAGGCUGGAGACCAGGGUGUUUCCGACAAUGCCUCCUGUGGUUCAAGAUUGAUGUUGCAAUGUUUACCUGGUCAGUUUGUUCAUUGUGCUGUGCAACCAACCACAUCUUCCCAAGCCGCAUAGUAUCCCAGAUCACUUGCGCCUCCCUCCAACCUCAUCUACUGUAUCUGCUGUUCCAGGUGUCAACUUCUCUACAUCGGCGAGACCAAGC
Long non-coding RNA from Leucoraja erinaceus (little skate), 815 nucleotides. RefSeq lists it as uncharacterized. Lineage: Eukaryota; Metazoa; Chordata; Chondrichthyes; Rajiformes; Rajidae. The transcript is spliced from 3 exons. The record is from RefSeq and is a predicted model, not a curated record.